RNAcentral lists this ribosomal RNA (220 nucleotides) under uncultured bacterium. RNAcentral describes it as "partial 16S ribosomal RNA". It matches the Rfam family "Bacterial small subunit ribosomal RNA", at positions 524 to 742 of the family's 1533-position model. The record is from RNAcentral.
UACGUAGGUGGCAAGCGUUGUCCGGAAUUAUUGGGCGUAAAGCGCGCGCAGGCGGCUUCUUAAGUCUGAUGUGAAAUCUCGGGGCUCAACCCCGAGCGGCCAUUGGAAACUGGGAAGCUUGGAGUACAGGAAGAGGAGAGUGGAAUUCCACGUGUAGCGGUGAAAUGCGUAGAUAUGUGGAGAACACCAGUGGCGAAGGCGACUCUCUGGUCUGUAACUG